Acanthosepion pharaonis is the source of this 112-nucleotide non-coding RNA. NCBI's taxonomy places the organism in Eukaryota, Metazoa, Mollusca, Cephalopoda, Sepiida, Sepiidae. The record is from the annotation of a GenBank genome assembly.
UACGGCCAUUUAACCUUGAAACACCGGUUCUCCUACGAUCACCGAGGUUAAGUAACGCCGAGCCUGGUCAGUAACUAAAUGGGUAUCCGCUUAUGAAUACCUGGUGCUGUAA